Non-coding RNA from Nerophis lumbriciformis (worm pipefish), 316 nucleotides. The record is from RefSeq and is a predicted model, not a curated record. NCBI's taxonomy places the organism in Eukaryota, Metazoa, Chordata, Actinopteri, Syngnathiformes, Syngnathidae.
CCUUGAACUCACCGUAUUUUGUUUACAUUCCUUACAUGUAGAUUUCAACGAUGCCGGUGAAAGACAUAUUUUAUGCCACUCUUUCUUUGUCUCAUUUUGUGAACCAACAUUUUUAUGCUAUGGGUGAACGCACACAAGUGUGAAGGGCUAUCGUGCAGGUUCUUACCCCAGCUAACCGCAAUCACGCAAUGGAAAAGUGUGGCGUUGCUCAGGAAGUCGUGAGGCGUGUAGGAAGUGAUCGUGGUGAGAAACAAGGCCAGGCUCAGGCCGUAGGGAGAAGAGGGUCCAGCAGUAAUUGACCAGGGAAGUCGGAAAG